RNAcentral lists this ribosomal RNA (292 nucleotides) under uncultured bacterium. RNAcentral describes it as "partial 16S ribosomal RNA". It matches the Rfam family "Bacterial small subunit ribosomal RNA", at positions 505 to 796 of the family's 1533-position model. The record is from RNAcentral.
GUGUCAGCAGCCGCGGUAAUACAGAGGGUGCGAGCGUUAAUCGGAAUUACUGGGCGUAAAGCGCGCGUAGGCGGCUUUGUAAGUCGGAUGUGAAAUCCCCGGGCUUAACCUGGGAACUGCAUUCGAGACUGCAUAGCUUGAGUAUGGGAGAGGGAGGCGGAAUUUCCGGUGUAGCGGUGAAAUGCGUAGAUAUCGGAAGGAACAUCAGUGGCGAAAGCGGCCUCCUGGACCAAUACUGACGCUCAUGUGCGAAAGCGUGGGGAGCAAACAGGAUUAGAUACCCUGGUAGUCC